This 468-nucleotide ribosomal RNA is filed under the name uncultured bacterium. Its description in RNAcentral is "partial 16S ribosomal RNA". It matches the Rfam family "Bacterial small subunit ribosomal RNA", at positions 28 to 507 of the family's 1533-position model. The record is from RNAcentral.
GAUGAACGCUGGCGGCGUGCUUAACACAUGCAAGUCGAACGGAAAGGCCCAAGCUUGCUUGGGUACUCGAGUGGCGAACGGGUGAGUAACACGUGGGUGAUCUGCCCUGCACUUCGGGAUAAGCCUGGGAAACUGGGUCUAAUACCGGAUAGGACGAUGGUUUGGAUGCCAUUGUGGAAAGUUUUUUCGGUGUGGGAUGAGCUCGCGGCCUAUCAGCUUGUUGGUGGGGUAAUGGCCUACCAAGGCGUCGACGGGUAGCCGGCCUGAGAGGGUGUACGGCCACAUUGGGACUGAGAUACGGCCCAGACUCCUACGGGAGGCAGCAGUGGGGAAUAUUGCACAAUGGGCGCAAGCCUGAUGCAGCGACGCCGCGUGGGGGAUGACGGCCUUCGGGUUGUAAACUCCUUUCGCUAGGGACGAAGCGUUUUUGUGACGGUACCUUGAGAAGAAGCACCGGCUAACUACGUG